Molecule: RNase P RNA, 358 nt
Filed under: Bacteroides sp.
Lineage: Bacteria; Pseudomonadati; Bacteroidota; Bacteroidia; Bacteroidales; Bacteroidaceae
Description: RNase P RNA component class A
Rfam family: Bacterial RNase P class A
About the family: Ribonuclease P (RNase P) is a ubiquitous endoribonuclease, found in archaea, bacteria and eukarya as well as chloroplasts and mitochondria. Its best characterised activity is the generation of mature 5'-ends of tRNAs by cleaving the 5'-leader elements of precursor-tRNAs.
Source: RNAcentral
GCAGUUGGAUGGUCUGUCGCUGGUACCGAAAGGUAAAAGAGGAAAGUCCGGGCAACAUAGAGCAUCUUACUUUUUAACGGAAAGCUAUCUGUGAAGGUAGAGUAAUGCAGAAGAAAACAACCGCCUUAUAUAAUAAGGUAAGGGUGAGAAGGUGGAGUAAGAGCCCACCAGCCGUAUGGUGACAUAUCGGGCUGUGCAUCUUAGGAGUUGUAAGGUCAUGUAAACCGGCACUAUGAGGGUUGCUCGCCCCAGUCGGAGGGUAGACCGCUUGAACUUAUUGGUGACAAUAAGUGUAGAUAAAUGACAGACGCCUUGUCUUGACAAGGAACAGAACCCGGCUCAUAGUCCGACUGCUUUC